RNAcentral lists this ribosomal RNA (222 nucleotides) under uncultured bacterium. Its description in RNAcentral is "partial 16S ribosomal RNA". It matches the Rfam family "Bacterial small subunit ribosomal RNA", at positions 57 to 305 of the family's 1533-position model. The record is from RNAcentral.
GCAAGUCGUACGAGAGUUUUUAACUCAAGUGGCGGACGGGUGAGUAACAUGUGGGUAUCUACCCUUUGGCCUGGAAUAACACGAGGAAACUUGUGCUAAUACCGGAUAAGUCUUUACGGAGAAAGCUUUAUGCACCAUUGGAUGAGCCCGCACUUGAUUAGUUUGUUGGUAGGGUAAUGGCCUACCAAGACUAUGAUCAAUAGCUGAUUUGAGAGGAUGAUC